This 153-nucleotide ribosomal RNA is filed under the name Streptomyces sp. SID3212. RNAcentral describes it as "partial 16S ribosomal RNA". It matches the Rfam family "Bacterial small subunit ribosomal RNA", at positions 1 to 154 of the family's 1533-position model. The record is from RNAcentral. Lineage: Bacteria; Bacillati; Actinomycetota; Actinomycetes; Kitasatosporales; Streptomycetaceae.
CAUUUACGGAGAGUUUGAUCCUGGCUCAGGACGAACGCUGGCGGCGUGCUUAACACAUGCAAGUCGAACGAUGAAGCCUUUCGGGGUGGAUUAGUGGCGAACGGGUGAGUAACACGUGGGCAAUCUGCCCUGCACUCUGGGACAAGCCCUGGA